RNAcentral lists this ribosomal RNA (881 nucleotides) under marine metagenome. RNAcentral describes it as "bacterial SSU rRNA". It matches the Rfam family "Bacterial small subunit ribosomal RNA", at positions 59 to 979 of the family's 1533-position model. The record is from RNAcentral.
AAGUCGAACGGAGGCCCUAGCUUGCUAGGUGUCCUUAGUGGCGCACGGGUGAGUAACACGUGGGAACAUACCUCAUAGUACGGAAUAACUGCGGGAAACUGUAGCUAAUACCGUAUAUUCCAGCAAUGGGAAAGAUUUAUCGCUAUGAGAUUGGCCCGCGCAAGAUUAGUUUGUUGGUAAGGUAAUGGCUUACCAAGGCUGCGAUCUUUAGCUGGUUUGAGAGGAUGAUCAGCCACACUGGGACUGAGACACGGCCCAGACUCCUACGGGAGGCAGCAGUAGGGAAUAUUGGACAAUGGGGGCAACCCUGAUCCAGCAAUGCAGCGUGAGUGACGAAGGCCUUAGGGUUGUAAAACUCUUUCAUCGGUGAGGAUAAUGACAGUAGCCGAAGAAGAAGGACCGGCUAAUUCCGUGCCAGCAGCCGCGGUAAUACGGAAGGUCCUAGCGUUGUUCGGAAUUACUGGGCGUAAAGCGCAUGUAGGCGGAACAGAAAGUUAGAAGUGAAAUCCCUGGGCUCAACCUAGGAAUUGCUUUUAAAACUUCUGUUCUGGAAUUCAGGAGAGGAAAAUGGAAUAUCCAGUGUAGAGGUGAAAUUCGUAGAUAUUGGAUGGAACACCAGUGGCGAAGGCGAUUUUCUGGACUGAUAUUGACGCUGAGAUGCGAAGGCAUGGGUAGCAAACGGGAUUAGAUACCCCGGUAGUCCAUGCAGUAAACGAUGGGUGCUAGUCGUCGGACUUAUGUUCGGUGUCGUAGCUAACGCGUUAAGCACCCCGCCUGGGGAGUACGGUCGCAAGAUUAAAACUCAAAUAAAUUGACGGGGACCCGCACAAGCAGUGGAGCAUGUGGUUUAAUUCGACGCAACGCGAAGAACCUUACCAGCG